ACGGGAGGCAGCAGUGGUGAAUAUUGCACAAUGGGCGAAGGCCUGAUGCAGCGACGCCGCGUGAGCGAAGAAGUAUUUCGGUAUGUAAAGCUCUAUCAGCAGGGAAGAUAAUGACGGUACCUGACUAAGAAGCACCGGCUAAAUACGUGCCAGCAGCCGCGGUAAUACGUAUGGUGCAAGCGUUAUCCGGAUUUACUGGGUGUAAAGGGAGCGUAGGCGGUUUUACAAGUCUGAUGUGAAAGCCCGGGGCUUAACUCCGGUACUGCAUUGGAAACUGUAGAACUAGAGUGUCGGAGGGGUAAGUGGAAUUCCUAGUGUAGCGGUGAAAUGCGUAGAUAUUAGGAGGAACACCAGUGGCGAAGGCGGCUUACUGGACGAUUACUGACGCUGAGGCUCGAAAGCAUGGGGAGCAAACAGGAUUAGAUACCCUGGUA
This 434-nucleotide ribosomal RNA is filed under the name uncultured Pseudobutyrivibrio sp. Its description in RNAcentral is "partial 16S ribosomal RNA". It matches the Rfam family "Bacterial small subunit ribosomal RNA", at positions 341 to 792 of the family's 1533-position model. The record is from RNAcentral. Lineage: Bacteria; Bacillati; Bacillota; Clostridia; Lachnospirales; Lachnospiraceae.